UUGGUGCCUUCGGGAACUGUGAGACAGGUGCUGCAUGGCUGUCGUCAGCUCGUGUUGUGAAAUGUUGGGUUAAGUCCCGCAACGAGCGCAACCCUUAUCCUUGUUGCCAGCGGUCCGGCCGGGAACUCAAAGGAGACUGCCAGUGAUAAACUGGAGGAAGUGGGGAUGACGUCAAGUCAUCAUGGCCCUUACGACCAGGGCUACACACGUGCUACAAUGGCGCAUACAAAGAGAAGCGACCUCGCGAGAGCAAGCGGACCUCAUAAAGUGCGUCGUAGUCCGGAUUGGAGUCUGCAACUCGACUCCAUGAAGUCGGAAUCGCUAGUAAUCGUGGAUCAGAAUGCCACGGCGAAUACGUUCCCGGGCCUU
RNAcentral lists this ribosomal RNA (369 nucleotides) under uncultured Enterobacteriaceae bacterium. RNAcentral's name for it is "bacterial SSU rRNA". It matches the Rfam family "Bacterial small subunit ribosomal RNA", at positions 1011 to 1382 of the family's 1533-position model. The record is from RNAcentral. Lineage: Bacteria; Pseudomonadati; Pseudomonadota; Gammaproteobacteria; Enterobacterales; Enterobacteriaceae.